UCUUACCCAGUUGUUGUUUUGGUACUUUAAAAACACUGUUUUUAAAAGAACAGGCUAGUAUCUUAAGCCUUUUAGUUCACUAAACUUCUACAAAAUAUCUCUAAGAGGGGCCUUGUUUUGUUACAGCUCAGGCAAUACUGCUUUUUCAUAAUAAACUUUACAAAACAUAAUGCUUCAAAUAUAUGGGAAGGAAAAUAAACUUCUCUCUGAUCCCCUGGAUUACAAAAUAAGGAGGAUAUAAACUAGCUGUUACUAAGGUUCUGUGGUUUCCACUCUGGCGUGUUUUCUGCAAGCCCUCUUUUUAAUUAAAACACGCAUGUAAAAAUGUUAAAUAAAGGGCUCUGUCUUUAUAUAGGCUUGUCUUUUAAAGUGUUUAUUCCUCUACAAAACUUAAUAUAACUUCCACUUGUAUGUGUUAAAAAACAGGCAAAGAAGCAGCCGCCUUAUCUCUGAUCUACUGGUUUACAGAGGCUGUUUUUGCUGACAGCUGCUCUGCUGCAAAAGCCUGCUGUCCUUACUAAAAAAUGACCAGUGCUAGCCUAAACCUAGGGAAAAACUUUCUGUGUUUUUAAGCCUGGGUUGUUUCUGCGGAUUUGCAUGUUAUUGAAACACCUGUGCCUGAGAGGCUAAAUGAAGGUUAUGGGUCUUCAGGAUUGGUUCAGGAAAAUGAAUUCUAUGACGCUGCUGUAAAACCACCUCUGAUUGGGCCGAUCCAAAGGAAUUGAUAACAAGUGUGAGAGGGUCUGAACCAGAAAAGUUGCCUCAUUCUACAGAAAGACUUCAAAGGGUUAAACCAGAAAAGCUGCCUCGUUUUACAAAAAGACUGCAAAGGAAACAGGAUUGGACUGCAACAACAGCCCAUCUUCACUAACUUCUCUUUCCUGUGAAAAGGCCAGUUAUUACCAUCUUUAAUACCACCGCCAGUAUUAAAACAGCUAGAAGCCAUGAUGCCUUUACCGGAACUCUGAUGCCAAUUUUGCCUUUGUGAGUCGUUGGUGAUCAUUGAUAUCAAUAGAGAUGGGCUGGUUUGCACCAGGUGUUGGAAUUUCCUAUCAUCCAUUCCAUUCCCUGUAACGAGAGUCACCAGAUACCAAAAGCUUAAGGUUUAUAUUUAGCAAGUUCUGUAGCGCCAAGGCCAUCUUUUUGUUCUGUGUCUGUACAGCGCAGAGCACUAUGGGGUCUUGGUGCAGGAAUAGGGCUUCUAGAUAUUAUCACAACACAAAUAAUAAACAAUAGCAAUAACUAAGGGUUUCCUCUUUAAAGGUCAAAAGGUCUGAAUCUCUUAUCGCAUACACUGGUUUUAUACUGGUGUGAAACUAUUAACUACAUGGGCAUUACUCCAGAUUUACAUUGGUGUGAAAGAGCAGAGGAUCAGGCCCACAAUCUUCCAAAUCCACUUAGAAAUAUUUGGGACUUUCUUCAAUGCUUUAUCUUGGGCCACUUUUGAAUCAGGUUCCUUCUGGUUUUGUACCCAGUCCACUGUAGGGGGGACAUUGUUUUUGGGCUCCAGGAAUGACUGCCCAGCUCUCUUCCUACCUUGCUAGAAAUGGCUGCUUCAUCUAAUAGAGUCAGAAAAGAGAAGCAGGCCCCUGGCCCAGAGUCUCAAAGCUAGUUAGGUGCCUAAAUGCUUCUGAGGAUCUGGUCCUUUAUGCUUAUAGUGACGACUCAUUAAAGGUGAAAUUCACCCCAUGCACAGGAUCAGCCUAAGGCAUAGGCACCACUUAAGUCUUAACUGAAGGCUUAAAGGAGUAAAGUACAGCAGUCAAAAGUUUGUGCUAAAACAAUGAAUAUUAGGUUUUUGCCUGAACAAAGUUUUUUGGAAAAAGUAUCUGAUCUUUGUGAAAAGUUGUGCUGUUUCAUCAAAUUAAAAAACAAAAAAAAAAGACAACUGAAAGCAGAAAGCUUCAGGCCAAACCCUAUUUUUACAAAUUAGUCAAUUCCACUGCAAUGCAUCAUGGGAGUUGUAGUUCAUGUGCCUUAUGUCCUCAUUCAUCUCUAUGGGCUGGGGUUUCCAACUGGAUGCAUCUCCCAUGAUGCCCCAAAGUUAUCUGACUCCUCUGAUGUAUUGUGGUCUCUCACCAAGAGGGGACACUGUGGUGCAUUAUGGGAGAUGUAGUCCCACCAAGGUACAUAGCCAAUAGGGGAGAACUGGGGCAUGGAACACCUGAACUACAACUCCCCUGAAGCACUAUGGCAGUAUUUCUCAAGUGAAAUUUUUGGGUGUCACUUUUCCACUAAAAAAGGUUCACCCUGCUCUAGUGUUUAGGACUUGUGUUGGCCUUAAAAAGUAUAAGAUGCUCUUGACUGCAAAAUAAAGGCAAGAGGUUCUAUCUUCCGACUGAAUAUUGUAUACAGCAGGGAUUCUCAAACCAAGGGUUGGGACUCCUCAGGGGGUCACGCGUUAUUAUAUGGGGAGGUCGAGAGCUGUUACCCUCCACCCCAAAUCCUGCUUUGCUGCCAGCAUUUGUAAUGGAGUUAAAUAUAUAAAAAAGUGUUUUUAAUGCAUAUGUGGGGGUUGCACUCAGAGGCUUGCUGUGUCACCAGUACAAAAGUCUGAGAACCCCUGGUAUAGGGCCUGCUUAAUCAAAUGGCAUCCAAAUGUGGGUUUUUAAACAUCAGUUAAUAAAUUAUAUUGCAUCAAUCCUCUGAGGAUUUCAAAAAGAACUGCUGACCUUGUAAAUUAGGCUCCUAGGAUAAGCCUUAAAAUCCAAUGCACAAGUCUGUCUCUCACCAGCCAAUAUCAGCCACCGUACCUCAGCUGAAAUCAGUGGCAUUUCACUGGUGUAAGCGAAGGGAGCAUCAGACCCGUGGGCUUUCCCUGCUCAACCAAAUAUAAAUCCAUCAUGAUCAAGUAAAAUAAAUUACGCUGACAGAAGUAAUGUUUCAGUGACUGACGGGCAACAGAAGAUCCCAUUCCAAGCAGUUCACCAUUUUUAUUGUAUGCCGUAGGACUAUACACGUUUCAUGCAGGCUAUGUGUUUGUCCCAGCUGCCACUCAGAAUGAAGUGCUUCACUUCAUGUGGGUGGGUCCUGGGCUAAGAUACUUGGUUCCUGGUCCGUAGUACCGGUGUCUUUAUCGAGGGUCCUGCAAGCAGAAAAAGAGAGUCAUUCCACAGCUGCUAGACUGAAUCGGUGAUCAAAGAUCACAGAACAUGCCCCCUCCCCUUGCCAAUUGAUAUUGGCCUAGCAGUGAAUCACUGCCUGGAGUGCAUUCAUUUAUUAUAAACACAAUAAAUAGUUUAUACAUUCACUGUAUUGAUAAUGGGCCUGAUUCUGCUCUCGUUUAGGGACUGAUCUAAAGCUCAUUGAAGUCAAUGGGUGUCUUUCCAUAUACUUCACUGGGCUUUGGGUCAGGUCUGUGCACUGGUUUUAUUGUACCUGUGCAGCUUGAAUGACUUCAGCAGACUUGCCUUGGGUUUGGGCACAAACAGGUUCAGGCCCAAUGGGAAGCCACAAAACGGCUAUGAAAAAUGUUUGCCAAUUGAUUAUAACCUGCAUAGGAAGUCAAAGGGUGUCUCACUGUAAAAUUGUAUAACAGAUAAGCAGUGUGUUUCCCUCAAAGCAAGCAAUGAAUGCUGGUGAAUGCCCUGUAACGUAAGGGAGCUGCGUGCAAUAAAUUAAGGGGUGACUCAUCGGCCCUGAGCUACUUAGGGACCCCUGAAGUGCUCGGAUCCUGCCGUGUCAGUAAAAUGAUUGGCUUUACCAAACAGCAGCUGCCUGAAAAAUACAGGCCAGGGUUUAGAGUGAGCAGACAGCAAUGUGAAAAAUCGGGACACUUUCUUUUGGGAGGUGGGGAAAUGGGGGUAUAGUUGCGUGUAUAAGACAAAGUCCCUAAUAUCGGGACAGUCCCAAUAGUAUUGGGACGUCUGCUCAUCCUCCCAGGAUUCCACUCUGCCAACACCUUUCAUGUGUAAAUUCAGCGAUCCAAGGGAGCUGAUGCCACGUGGGUGGUGGGUGAAGUGUCCUCUGGGAGCUAGCUCUGUCCCCCGCUCUCCCCCUGGCCCCUCCCCAUCCCCACUCAGCCCCCGCGCUGCUGCUCGCCACAUCUCUCCUCUCCACUAGCCCCCUCUGCCUGCCUGCCACUGGCCACAUCCCUCCUCACUCCCUCACCUCCCUUAAGACCCCCCUCCCCUGCCACCACUCGCUGCUUCCCUUCUCACCUCCCUGCUCCUGCAUGACCCCCCUGCCCACCACAUCCCUCCUCACCCCGGUGACACCCACCACUGUCCACCACUCAUCACGUUCCCUCCUCAUCCCCCUGCCACUGCGAGACCCCCUCUGCCCUCCACGUCCCUCCUCACCCCCCACCCCAUCAAGACCCCCACCAUGCACCACUUAUCUUGUCCCCGCCUCACUCCCCCACACACACACUCACCAUUCGCUGUGUCCCUCCUCACCCCCCCAGUUCCCACAGGGGAAGGGGUGGAGGAGAGGAGAGAUGCAGCGAGCAGCGGUAGCUGUGGGUGGUGGGGGCUUUGGAGAAGGGCAGAGCAGGGAGGGGAAGAGGCAGAGCGCAGGCAGGGCCACCAUGGGCCAAGUGUCUAGCAGCGUGUCAGAGGUGGCUGUGCCAGGGGAGGUUUAGCCUCCCUGGCCUAUUCUAUCUGUCGUCCAUGAUGACAGAUCCUGUUGGGGGUGGGACCCAGAUGUUGGGCAUUGGUAUUAAUUAGCACUCCACGGGGCUAGCUCCUCAGCUGGUGGAAAUCGGCGUCAUGAGGCUGGGCCCAUGUGCCGAGGAGGACAGUCCAUGGAGACCAUAGUCGGAGGUGCUACAUGCCUGGGGUCAGUGCAGGUAGGGGAUCCUGGAAUCAGGGAGGAUGGUGGGGGAACAACCUGAGGGAGAUCAGGGCAGGAGCGGGGAAAGGAGGAGAUCUGCAGGGUUGGCUUACAGCAGGUGAGAGCUGGAAGGAAAGGAUCUACGGGGUCAGGAAGAGCAGUGGAUGUGCUCCAUGUUGAUCAGUAAGGAAAUGGAAAGGGGAUUUCUGGGGCAGGGGAGGCGCAUGAAAAGGGAGAGAUGCAGUGGGUGGGAAGGGCUCUCUGAGGUCACAGAGGCAGAACGGAGAUGCAGGUGGAAUCCUGGCCAGAUUUAAAAUGGCUGCCAUCACAUGGCGGUGGCGAUUUAAAAUAUCUGGGAACCGCAUUGCUCUUUUCAAUGAGAUUUAUACGCAGGGUCUGGCCAUAUGUACAGACUGAUGACAGUUGGGGCUUAAACGGCAGGACCAAUUUUGUGGCCAGCACCCUGUCCAUGUGAGUCUAGGUACAGUAGUGUCUGCCCAUCUGAUCGAAUCCAGUGCAAUCCUGGUUUGCAGCCUGUGAGCGUGACUUUCCCUACAAGAGGCUAUAUGUGAGCUCAGCCUAGAGCCUGGACUGGGAGCUGCUCAGCUCGGGACAAUCUCACUCAUGUGUCCAGGGUUUAUCUGACCUCCACACUGGCAGAUUGGAUUUUUCUACCAGAACUUAUUGGCAGGGGCUUGUGGAUACUUCCCCACUCCACGGAGCAGUCAUGGUGCAGGGAGUGAGCUGGUAACACAACUGGCUUUCUGCAGAGGCAGGGGGUGCACAGUGAGAGAGAUGGCCAUAAUUUGGGAGGAGGGUAGCCAAGAAGGAGGUGAGCCCAACACCUAAGGACAAUGGAGUCCGUGCGAGUGUCAGGCCUACAGCAGCACUCCACCGGACCUAGUCACGUUGGGCACUGCACUGAGUGCCUUGGGGCAUGUUUACACUGCAGCUAGGAGCCAGCCUCGGUCCACAGACUCCUGUUAACAUGCUAAAAAUAGCUGUGUAGACACAU
This is a long non-coding RNA of Gopherus evgoodei (Goodes thornscrub tortoise), 5788 nucleotides long. RefSeq lists it as uncharacterized. NCBI's taxonomy places the organism in Eukaryota, Metazoa, Chordata, Testudines, Testudinidae. The record is from RefSeq and is a predicted model, not a curated record. The transcript is spliced from 6 exons.